RNAcentral lists this transfer RNA (76 nucleotides) under Lachnospiraceae bacterium. Its description in RNAcentral is "tRNA-Lys". It matches the Rfam family "tRNA". Rfam says of the family: Transfer RNA (tRNA) molecules are approximately 80 nucleotides in length. Their secondary structure includes four short double-helical elements and three loops (D, anti-codon, and T loops). Further hydrogen bonds mediate the characteristic L-shaped molecular structure. tRNAs have two regions of fundamental functional importance: the anti-codon, which is responsible for specific mRNA codon recognition, and the 3' end, to which the tRNAs corresponding amino acid is attached (by aminoacyl-tRNA synthetases). tRNAs cope with the degeneracy of the genetic code in two manners: having more than one tRNA (with a specific anti-codon) for a particular amino acid; and 'wobble' base-pairing, i.e. permitting non-standard base-pairing at the 3rd anti-codon position. The record is from RNAcentral. Lineage: Bacteria; Bacillati; Bacillota; Clostridia; Lachnospirales; Lachnospiraceae.
GGAGCACUAGCUCAGUCGGUAGAGCACCUGACUUUUAAUCAGGUUGUCGGGGGUUCGAAUCCCCCGUGCUUCACUA